Molecule: ribosomal RNA, 442 nt
Filed under: uncultured bacterium
Lineage: Bacteria
Description: partial 16S ribosomal RNA
Rfam family: Bacterial small subunit ribosomal RNA
Source: RNAcentral
CCUACGGGUGGCUGCAGUGGGGAAUAUUGGGCAAUGGGCGCAAGCCUGACCCAGCAACGCCGCGUGAAGGAAGAAGGCUUUCGGGUUGUAAACUUCUUUUGUCAGGGAAGAGUAGAAGACGGUACCUGACGAAUAAGCCACGGCUAACUACGUGCCAGCAGCCGCGGUAAUACGUAGGUGGCAAGCGUUGUCCGGAUUUACUGGGUGUAAAGGGCGUGUAGCCGGGUUGACAAGUCAGAUGUGAAAUCCUGCGGCUUAACCGCAGAACUGCAUUUGAAACUGUUGAUCUUGAGUACUGGAGAGGCAGAUGGAAUUCCUAGUGUAGCGGUGAAAUGCGUAGAUAUUAGGAGGAACACCGAUGGCGAAGGCAGCCUCCUGGGACAUAACUGACGCUCAGGCACGAAAGCGUGGGGAGCAAACAUGAUUAGAUACCCCUGUAGUC